UACGUAGGGUGCAGGCGUUAAUCGGAAUUACUGGGCGUAAAGCGUGCGCAGGCGGUUUCUUAAGUCAGAUGUGAAAGCCCCGGGCUUAACCUGGGAACUGCGUUUGAAACUACAAGACUAGAAUAUGUCAGAGGGGGGUAGAAUUCCACGUGUAGCAGUGAAAUGCGUAGAGAUGUGGAGGAAUACCAAUGGCGAAGGCAGCCCCCUGGGAUAAUAUUGACGCUCAUGCACGAGAGCGUGGGGAGCAAACAGG
Molecule: ribosomal RNA, 253 nt
Filed under: uncultured bacterium
Lineage: Bacteria
Description: partial 16S ribosomal RNA
Rfam family: Bacterial small subunit ribosomal RNA
Source: RNAcentral